Molecule: ribosomal RNA, 404 nt
Filed under: Fusobacteriota bacterium
Lineage: Bacteria; Fusobacteriati; Fusobacteriota
Description: Fusobacteria bacterium partial 16S ribosomal RNA
Rfam family: Bacterial small subunit ribosomal RNA
Source: RNAcentral
UGGGGAAUAUUGCACAAUGGAGGGAACUCUGAUGCAGCGACGCCGCGUGAGUGAUGAAGGAAUUCGUUUCGUAAAACUCUGUUCUAUGGGAAGAAAAGGACUGUACCAUAGGAGAAAGCUCCGGCUAAAUACGUGCCAGCAGCCGCGGUAAUACGUAUGGAGCGAGCGUUGUCCGGAAUUAUUGGGCGUAAAGGGUGCGCAGGCGGCUGUACAAGUUGGAUGGGAAAUAUUGUGGCUCAACCACAAACGUGCAUCCAAAACUGCAAAGCUUGAGGGAAGGAGAGGUAAGUGGAAUUCCGGGUGGAGCGGUGGAAUGCGUAGAUAGCAGGAGGAAGACCGGUGGCGAAGGCGACUUACUGGACUUAAACUGACGCUCAGGCACGAAAGCGUGGGGAGCAAACAGG